Molecule: transfer RNA, 70 nt
Filed under: Galerucinae sp. 1 ACP-2013
Lineage: Eukaryota; Metazoa; Arthropoda; Insecta; Coleoptera; Chrysomelidae
Description: tRNA-Met
Rfam family: tRNA
About the family: Transfer RNA (tRNA) molecules are approximately 80 nucleotides in length. Their secondary structure includes four short double-helical elements and three loops (D, anti-codon, and T loops).
Source: RNAcentral
UAAAAAAGAUAAGCUAAUAAAGCUACUGGGCUCAUACCCCUAUUAUAAAGGUUUUAGUCCUUUUCUUUUU